GCUGCUCUCCACGCUCAUGUCGGCCUCCAACGCCGACCGCGCCGCCGCCGAGGCCGCCUUCCACCGCCUCCGCGGCUCCCACCCGGAGCCCCUCGCGCUGCGCCUCGCCUCCUCGCUCGCGGCCCCGGCCACCCCCGCCGAGCUCCGCGCCAUGGCCGCCGUCCUCCUCCGCAAGCUCCUCUCCCCGACGGCCUCCUCCGACUCCUCCGCCGCCGCGCCGCCCCCGCUCUGGCCCCUCCUCUCCCCCGACGGCCAGGCAGCGCUCAAGGCCCACCUCCUGGCCGCGCUCCAGUCCGACCCCCCCAAGCCCAUCGCCAAGAAGGUCUGCGACGCCAUAUCCGAGCUCGCCACGCUCCUCCUCCCGGAGAACACCUGGGCCGAGCUGCUGCCGUUCCUCUUCCGCGCGGCCUCCACCCCCGAGGCGCCCAACCCGCAGGAGUCGGCGCUGCUCAUCUUCGCGCGCCUCGCGGAUUACAUCGCCGAAUCUCUUCUCGACCAUUUGAUGACCAUCCACAACCUUCUAGCAUCUGCCCUGGCGCACCCGACCUCGCCUGAUGUUCGCAUCGCCGCGCUGAGCGCCGCCGUUAAUCUCGUUCAGUGCCUGCCCACUAACGCGGAUAGAGAUAAGAUGCAGGACUUGCUGCCUGCGAUGAUGAGGGCGCUCACGGAUUGCCUGAAUUCGUCCCAGGAGGCAUCUGCACAGGAGGCACUGGAGCUGCUUGUGGAGCUGGCUGGUGCAGAGCCAAGGUUCCUGCGGCGACAGAUUGCCGAUGUGGCAGGAGCAAUGCUGCAAAUAGCUGAAGCUGCACAGUUGGAGGAUGGAACUAGGCACCUGGCUGUCGAGUUUGUGAUUACUCUUGCUGAGGCCAGGGAGCGUGCACCAGGAAUGAUGCGCCGGCUCCCACAGUUUGUUGGCAGGCUCUUCCAAGUACUUAUGCAGAUGUUGCUUGAUGUAGAGGAUGACCCUGCCUGGCACACUGCUGAAACCGAGGACGAAGAUGCAGGUGAAGGGAACAACUAUGGAGUGGCGCAGGAGUGCCUUGACCGUCUUGCCAUUGCCAUUGGUGGGAAUGCAGUCGUGCCGAUUGCAUCUGAGCUGCUCCCACAAUAUCUUUCUGCUCCAGAGUGGCAGAAGCACCAUGCUGCGCUCAUCACUCUUGCACAGAUUGCAGAGGGAUGUGCAAAGGUUAUGCUUAAAAACUUGGAGCAGGUGGUUUCGAUGAUACUGAACGGAUUCCAACACCCUCAUCCUCGAGUGCGGUGGGCUGCAAUCAAUGCCAUUGGUCAGCUGUCUACAGAUUUGGGCCCAGACUUGCAGGUUCAGUACCACCAGAAGGUGCUGCCUGCAUUGGCUAACGCCAUGGAUGAUUUUCAGAAUCCACGGGUGCAGGCACAUGCUGCGUCUGCAAUCUUGAAUUUCAGCGAGAAUUGCACGCCCGAAAUUCUGACACCGUACCUGGAUGGAAUUGUUAGCAAAUUACUUGUUCUUCUCCAGAAUGGUAAGCAAAUGGUGCAAGAGGGAGCAUUGACAGCUUUAGCAUCAGUAGCUGAUUCAUCGCAGGACCACUUCAAGAAAUAUUAUGAUGCUGUUAUGCCGUACCUGAAAGCUAUUUUGAUGAAUGCAACUGACAAGUCUAAUAGGAUGCUCCGUGCCAAGUCCAUGGAGUGUAUAAGUCUUGUUGGAAUGGCUGUAGGCAAGGAUAAAUUUAGGGAUGAUGCCAAGCAGGUCAUGGAAGUGCUUAUGGCUUUGCAAGGAACUCCAAUGGAAACAGAUGAUCCGAUAACCAGCUACAUGUUGCAGGCUUGGGCCAGGCUAUGCAAAUGUCUUGGACAGGAUUUUCUUCCUUACAUGCAUGUUGUUAUGCCACCACUGCUUCAGUCUGCUCAGCUGAAGCCUGAUGUCACAAUUACUUCAGCCGAAUCAGAUGAUGAAAUAGAAUCAGAUGACGACAGCAUUGAAACAAUCACACUUGGUGACAAAAGAAUUGGAAUUCGAACUAGUGUGCUGGAAGAGAAAGCAACAGCUUGCAACAUGCUGUGUUGCUAUGCUGAUGAGCUCAAGGAGGGUUUCUUCCCAUGGAUUGAUCAGGUUGCUCCUACAUUGGUCCCUCUGCUUAAGUUUUACUUCCAUGAAGAAGUGAGAAGAGCUGCUGUUGCAGCUAUGCCUGAACUGUUACGUUCGGCAAAAUUGGCUGUUGAGAAGGGGCAGGCUCCAGGACGCGACGAGUCUUACGUUAAACAAUUGUCUGAUUUCAUAAUUCCAGCUCUGGUUGAAGCGCUGCACAAGGAGCCGGAAACCGAAAUGUGCUCAUCCAUGCUGGAUUCCUUAAAUGAGUGUAUGCAGCUUUCUGGAUGUCUUCUUGAUGAGAAUCAAGUAAGAGCUAUUUCGGAUGAGAUUAAGAAUGUUAUUAUAGCCAGUGCAACCAGGAAAAGAGACAGAUCAGAGAGAACAAAAGCAGAAGAUUUUGAUGCUGAUGAAGGAGAACUACUCAAAGAAGAGAAUGAGCAGGAGGAGGAAGUGUUCGAUCAGGUCGGCGAGUGCCUGGGAACUUUGAUUAAAACCUUUAAAGCUUCUUUCUUGCCGUUCUUUGAUGAGCUAUCUGUGUACGUUACACCAAUGUUGGGGAAGGACAAGACAGCUGAGGAGAGAAGGAUAGCUAUCUGCAUUUUUGAUGACAUUGCAGAGCAAUGUCGUGAGUCGGCUCUGAAGUAUUAUGAUACCUAUGUUCCUUUCUUGUUGGAGGCAUCCAACGAUGAUAACUCAGAUGUUCGGCAGGCUGCUGUUUAUGGCCUGGGCGUAUGUGCUGAGUUUGGUGGUCUUACUUUCCGUCCUUUAGUUGGAGAGGCCCUGUCAAAGCUGAACAAUGUUAUCAGACAUCCAGAAGCACAACAUGCAGAUAAUAUUAUGGCAUAUGAUAAUGCUGUUUCAGCACUUGGAAAAAUAUGUCAAUUUCAUCGCGAUGGGAUUGAUGCGGCUCAGGUCAUUCCAGCAUGGCUUGGUUGCUUGCCUAUAAAAGAUGACAAGAUUGAAGCAAAAGUUGUACAUGAUCAGCUUUGUUCGAUGGUGGAGAGAUCGGACGCACAGGUUCUUGGACCUCAUAGUCAGUAUCUUCCUAAAAUAGUUUCUAUUUUUGCCGAGGUUCUGUGCAAUGGAAAGGAGCUUGCAACAGAUGAAACAACAACCCGGAUGAUCAGUGUUCUGAAGACAUUGCCACCUGAUUUUCUUGCCUCCACAUUUUCCACCUUGCAACCACAGCAGCAGCUUAUGCUACAGUCCAUCCUAUCCACAUAG
This 3292-nucleotide ribosomal RNA is filed under the name Triticum aestivum (bread wheat). RNAcentral's name for it is "partial small subunit ribosomal RNA". Lineage: Eukaryota; Viridiplantae; Streptophyta; Magnoliopsida; Poales; Poaceae. The record is from RNAcentral.